This 253-nucleotide ribosomal RNA is filed under the name uncultured bacterium. RNAcentral's name for it is "partial 16S ribosomal RNA". It matches the Rfam family "Bacterial small subunit ribosomal RNA", at positions 524 to 776 of the family's 1533-position model. The record is from RNAcentral.
UACGGAGGGGGCUAGCGUUAUUCGGAAUUACUGGGCGUAAAGCGCACGUAGGCGGAUUGGAAAGUCAGAGGUGAAAUCCCAGAGCUCAACUUUGGAACUGCCUUUGAAACUCCCAGUCUUGAGGUCGAGAGAGGUGAGUGGAAUUCCGAGUGUAGAGGUGAAAUUCGUAGAUAUUCGGAGGAACACCAGUGGCGAAGGCGGCUCACUGGCUCGAUACUGACGCUGAGGCGCGAAAGCCAGGGUAGUGAACGGG